Molecule: ribosomal RNA, 780 nt
Filed under: Shewanella loihica
Lineage: Bacteria; Pseudomonadati; Pseudomonadota; Gammaproteobacteria; Alteromonadales; Shewanellaceae
Description: bacterial SSU rRNA
Rfam family: Bacterial small subunit ribosomal RNA
Source: RNAcentral
AGAGUUUGAUCCUGGCUCAGAUUGAACGCUGGCGGCAGGCCUAACACAUGCAAGUCGAGCGGUAACAGAAAGUAGCUUGCUACUUUGCUGACGAGCGGCGGACGGGUGAGUAAUGCCUAGGGAACUGCCCAGUCGAGGGGGAUAACAGUUGGAAACGACUGCUAAUACCGCAUACGCCCUACGGGGGAAAAGAGGGGAUCUUCGGACCUUCUGCGAUUGGAUGUACCUAGGUGGGAUUAGCUAGUAGGUGAGGUAAUGGCUCACCUAGGCGACGAUCCCUAGCUGUUCUGAGAGGAUGAUCAGCCACACUGGGACUGAGACACGGCCCAGACUCCUACGGGAGGCAGCAGUGGGGAAUAUUGCACAAUGGGCGCAAGCCUGAUGCAGCCAUGCCGCGUGUGUGAAGAAGGCCUUCGGGUUGUAAAGCACUUUCAGCGAGGAGGAAAGGUUAACGGUUAAUACCCGUUAGCUGUGACGUUACUCGCAGAAGAAGCACCGGCUAACUUCGUGCCAGCAGCCGCGGUAAUACGAGGGGUGCAAGCGUUAAUCGGAAUUACUGGGCGUAAAGCGUACGCAGGCGGUUGAUUAAGCGAGAUGUGAAAGCCCCGGGCUUAACCUGGGAACUGCAUUUCGAACUGGUCAACUAGAGUCUUGUAGAGGGGGGUAGAAUUUCAGGUGUAGCGGUGAAAUGCGUAGAGAUCUGAAGGAAUACCGGUGGCGAAGGCGGCCCCCUGGACAAAGACUGACGCUCAGGUACGAAAGCGUGGGGAGCAAACAGGA